This 505-nucleotide ribosomal RNA is filed under the name uncultured bacterium. RNAcentral's name for it is "bacterial SSU rRNA". It matches the Rfam family "Bacterial small subunit ribosomal RNA", at positions 28 to 525 of the family's 1533-position model. The record is from RNAcentral.
GACGAACGCUGGCGGCGUGGAUUAGGCAUGCAAGUCGAACGGUAUCAUCCUUUCGGGGGUGAGAGAGUGGCGAACUGGUGAGUAACACGUAGGUUAUCUACCCUCAAGACGGGGACAACCCAGGGAAACUUGGGCUAAUACCGGAUGUGAGCAACUUUUAGUUGUUUGAAAGGUGGCGUAAGCUGUCGCUUGGGGAUGAGCCUGCGUCCUAUUAGUUAGUUGGUGAGGUAACGGCUCACCUAGGCAAUGAUAGGUAGGCGGCCUUAACGGGUGGUCGCCCACACUGGGAUUGAGAUACGGCCCAGACUCCUACGGGAGGCAGCAGUCGAGAAUAGUCUACAAUGGUCGGAAGACUGAUAGUGCGACGCCGCGUGAACGAUGAAUCCCUUCGGGGUGUAAAGUUCUUUUAUAUGUGAGCAGUGCUUCUUAUAUUAACAGUAUGGGGAGAGCGAUAUUAGCAUAUGAAUAAGCAACGGCUAACUCCGUGCCAGCAGCCGCGGUAAAA